GCGUAAGAGUCCGGGCGGUCCAAUGUGUAUGGGGAAGAGGGCGGAGCUAGAGCGGCCUGGAUUACCAUUAGGUUAUAGUCGGAGACUACAUUUCCCAUGCUGCGCCGGAAACCGGAAGCACCUCGGCGCCAGUGCGCAGGCGCAAAAAAGCCCCCUCUGGUUAUAUAAGAGAGAU
Non-coding RNA from Myotis brandtii (Brandt's bat), 175 nucleotides. Lineage: Eukaryota; Metazoa; Chordata; Mammalia; Chiroptera; Vespertilionidae. The record is from Rfam.